UGGGGAAUAUUGCGCAAUGGGGGAAACCCUGACGCAGCGACGCCGCGUGGACGAUGAAGGCCUUCGGGUUGUAAAGUCCUGUUCUGGGGGAAGAAACCUUAAGGGUCCAAUAAACCCUUAAGCUGACGGUACCCCAAGAGAAAGCUCCGGCUAAUUAUGUGCCAGCAGCCGCGGUAAUACAUAAGGAGCAAGCGUUAUCCGGAAUUAUUGGGCGUAAAGGGCUCGUAGGCGGUCUUAAAAGUCAGGUGUGAAAUUAUCAGGCUCAACCUGAUAAGGUCAUCUGAAACUUUAAGACUCGAGGAUAGAAGAGGAAAGUGGAAUUCCCGGUGUAGCGGUGAAAUGCGUAGAUAUCGGGAGGAAUACCAGUGGCGAAGGCGGCUUUCUGGUCUAAUUCUGACGCUGAGGAGCGAAAGCUAGGGGAGCAAACGGGAUUAGAUACCCCGGUAGUCCUAGCUGUAAACGAUGGAUACUAGGUGUGGGAGGUAUCGACCCCUUCUGUGCCGCAAGCUAACGCUAUUAAGUAUCCCGCCUGGGGAAGUACGGUCGCAAGGCUGA
This 555-nucleotide ribosomal RNA is filed under the name uncultured bacterium. RNAcentral's name for it is "bacterial SSU rRNA". It matches the Rfam family "Bacterial small subunit ribosomal RNA", at positions 355 to 897 of the family's 1533-position model. The record is from RNAcentral.